AUACGGAGGAUCCGAGCGUUAUCCGGAUUUAUUGGGUUUAAAGGGUGCGCAGGCGGCCAUUUAAGUCAGCGGUUAAAUCGUGGGGCUCCACCCCAUUCUGCCGUUGAUACUGGGUGGCUUGAUUGCGGUCGAGGUUGGCGGAAUUCGUUGUGUAGCGGGGAAAUGCAUAGAUAUGACGAAGAACACCGAUUGCGUAGGCAGCUGACCAGACCGCAAAUGACGCUCAUGCACGAAAGUGCGGGGAUCGAACAGGAUUAGAUACCCUGGUAGUCCGCACAGUAAACGAUGAAUACUUGUUUUCGGCGAUAUAAUGUCGGAGGCAAAGCGAAAGCAUUAAGUAUUCCACCUGGGGAGUACGCCGGCAACGGUGAAACUCAAAUGAAUUGACGGGG
RNAcentral lists this ribosomal RNA (392 nucleotides) under uncultured bacterium. RNAcentral describes it as "partial 16S ribosomal RNA". It matches the Rfam family "Bacterial small subunit ribosomal RNA", at positions 523 to 918 of the family's 1533-position model. The record is from RNAcentral.